This 361-nucleotide ribosomal RNA is filed under the name Ribes americanum (American black currant). Lineage: Eukaryota; Viridiplantae; Streptophyta; Magnoliopsida; Saxifragales; Grossulariaceae. The record is from RNAcentral.
UCUAAACCUUUCUUGCGAAGCUAGUGAGCGUUUUCGAUGGAUACGACUACAAUAUCUCAAUUUGUUGUCAAUACAGAUGAAUGAUUGACGUAAUUCAAACGAUUAUACACGGAAAUCGAGGAUUUUCCGUGGUUUCUGUAUCAGUUUUUACCCUUCUGGGCAUUAAGAAGCUGUUUCUGCGUCAAUUUUGAGGUGUGUAAGAAAAUGUGUCUUGAAUUCCCACUGAAAUCAUUUGUAAAGUAAGAUAAGGCGUUUGAAACAAGAUCCGUGCCACUUUUUUUGUUUUUUGUUUUUUUUUGUUUUUUCUGUUGAAUCGAAAAUGCUUUCGACAAAUGAGUUAUAUACAAAGUGUGUGCAAAUG